GGAAAAUAUUUAUUAUAAAAGAGACAAGUUCACCAAAACAUCCAGUCCAAGUUUAAUUUAGAAAAAAAUUUCUCAGUCCCCUGCUCAAGUUUGCUAGCAGUCGUAAGCUGGAGCGUGGUGUAUUCAAGGGCUUGGGGGAGAUUUAAGCUGUCUGUGUAAGCACCGUGACUACAGAUUUUGCAAUCCAAAGUUAUUUUUGCUUUUAAUUCUACUCCAGAAGAUCUGAAAGGUUAACUUUGAGCUCUUCCCACCAAAACUAGCCACUUGUAAUUGCAUCUGGAAAGACCACGAGUGGCGGAGAUAGUUUCUUGAGACCAGAAAGAGCCAAACGAAACCUCCCCAGAUGGGCAUCUGGGCACGGUGCUGGAAGGAUUGUUCCAUCUUGGUCUGAGAGAAAGCAGUGUGUCUGCAGGGGAGCUCAGGUGGGAAUUCAGCUCCUUGCAGGACCAGGGCCAUCCAUCAGCCGUUAGGGUGAUGACCCACCUAUGUCAGGUCCCUUCACAGCUGGUCCAACAGGUAUUUCACGCACUUUGUUUUAAAAGCUUGUCUGCAGGUGGAGGAAACCACCUGGCCAUAAAGGAUGUGCUCCUUACAGUUAUCUCUUGAAGAAGAAAAUAGGAAAAAGGAGCAUUUGGGGGAAAAAAGGAGCAGCCUCUAGAAGUGGUUGCAGAUGUCCAGCACACGGUGUGAGCGGAGGUCACGGUGCGAUGCCAACGAGCCUCUGCCCUCCUACUGCUCCUGCAGCACUGUGCAGCCCCUGUGGAUGUGCCACUGGUACAUCCAGUCAGCAGGGAGGGAUAUAAGGCAGCGGAUCCCCUCAGCUGGGAUCUCACCCAGAGCCUCCUCUGAACUGCUAAACACUCAUAUAGGUAAGACACGCACCCUGGAUGACAGUUUGAAGCACGUCAACCCUAUUCUGUUGGGAUUUAAAAUACCACAGAGAGGACCCUCACCACUGUGACUUCUCCUAAGCCCUUCCGUGAUGUCUCCUCCUGUGGCAGCCUGGGACAAUGCGAGGUGCGACCCCCAGCCCUGAGCAGCCAGGCCAGCAGGCUCUUGGUGUCUCGGUCCCUCGCUCACUACAAAGGAAGGACAGCAACAAUGAGUUUGCAAGAGCGUGUUCUGAGAUAAUUGGUCUUGCAGAAGUGCUUUGAAGAGGAUCGGCAUUAUAUAAAUGCCAUCUGACAGUCGAGUCAAAAGACUCCUGCUAAGAACAAAUUAAAACCACUUAACCUAGCGAGAAGUUACUCCUUCCAUUAUGAUAGCUGCUCUGUUCUGAUAAAAGCAAGAAUUCAAACAAGUUAAUGAUUUCAUCUCCUUGGCAUGGAGAUUACAGCACAGCUGCACAGCUGAGAUGUCACAAUAAAAGCAAAUGCUUACGAAAGGUUGUUCUUUAU
Molecule: long non-coding RNA, 1397 nt
Filed under: Anser brachyrhynchus (Pink-footed goose)
Lineage: Eukaryota; Metazoa; Chordata; Aves; Anseriformes; Anatidae
Description: lncRNA (ENSABRG00000000677.1)
Source: RNAcentral